CACACCCAAAUUCUUGAUGAACCGACUCCAGUCAGAGAAGAGUUGCUAGAUGCAAUUGUGGCAAAGAAAGCUUGUGUCCGGAUUAGAUCAAAGUUUCUUGUCACAUCUUAAGCUGCCACUGGAAGAUCAUCCAAUGCUCUUUUCAAGGCUUUUGAACCAAACAAAUGGAAAAUGUGAAGUAAACCCAGAUUUCGUGAAGUGGUGUAGCUGUUAAAACCAAAUCCAAAAUAUAAACUUAUCUAUGCAUCAUGUGUUGGCAGCAAAGUUUAUACUUCCUUCAAAUCAUUAAGCAUAUUUCACUGUAUGUUUUUGUGCAACUCUCUAAAUUAUCUUUUUAUUGUUACAGUGGAUGCUUUGAAAGCCAACACUGAGUAUAAUGGUAUAUUGGUUAUACAGAUGCUAUAUAGCAUCAUCAAGUGUUGUUCAAUGGUUUUAGAAGGUAAUGACAUGAACAUGAAUGGUUAGUUAAUGUGUUAAGCACAAUCCAUGUUUGUAGUUUUCUUAUAAUUUGUGCAUUAUGUUAGUGAA
Molecule: long non-coding RNA, 528 nt
Organism: Humulus lupulus (European hop)
Lineage: Eukaryota; Viridiplantae; Streptophyta; Magnoliopsida; Rosales; Cannabaceae
Exons: 2
Source: RefSeq, a predicted model, not a curated record